CCUACGGGGGGCAGCAGUGAGGAAUAUUGGUCAAUGGACGAGAGUCUGAACCAGCCAAGUAGCGUGAAGGAUGACUGCCCUAUGGGUUGUAAACUUCUUUUAUAUGGGAAUAAAACGUUCCACGUGUGGGAUUUUGUAUGUACCAUAUGAAUAAGGAUCGGCUAACUCCGUGCCAGCAGCCGCGGUAAUACGGAGGAUCCGAGCGUUAUCCGGAUUUAUUGGGUUUAAAGGGAGCGUAGGUGGAUUGUUAAGUCAGUUGUGAAAGUUUGCGGCUCAACCAUAAAAUUGCAGUUGAAACUGGCAGUCUUGAGUACAGUAGAGGUGGGCGGAAUUCGUGGUGUAGCGGUGAAAUGCUUAGAUAUCACGAAGAACUCCGAUUGCGAAGGCAGUUCACUGGACUGCAACUGACACUGAGGCUCGAAAGUGUGGGUAUCAAACAGGAUUAGAUACCCUUGUAGUC
This 460-nucleotide ribosomal RNA is filed under the name uncultured bacterium. RNAcentral's name for it is "partial 16S ribosomal RNA". It matches the Rfam family "Bacterial small subunit ribosomal RNA", at positions 338 to 795 of the family's 1533-position model. The record is from RNAcentral.